This 250-nucleotide ribosomal RNA is filed under the name uncultured bacterium. RNAcentral describes it as "partial 16S ribosomal RNA". It matches the Rfam family "Bacterial small subunit ribosomal RNA", at positions 524 to 773 of the family's 1533-position model. The record is from RNAcentral.
UACAGAGGGUGCAAGCGUUAAUCGGAAUCACUGGGCUUAAAGCGUUCGUAGGCGGGUCUGCAGGCGCGUUGUGAAAGCCCCCGGCUCAACCGGGGAACUGCUUCGCGAACCGUAGAUCUUGAGUCAAGUAGGGGCGGUCGGAACGAUAGGUGGAGCGGUGAAAUGCGUAGAUAUCUAUCGGAACGCCGAAGGUGAAGACAGGCCGCUGGGCUUGUACUGACGCUGAGGAACGAAAGCGUGGGGAGCAAAC